Molecule: long non-coding RNA, 823 nt
Filed under: Anas platyrhynchos platyrhynchos (common mallard)
Lineage: Eukaryota; Metazoa; Chordata; Aves; Anseriformes; Anatidae
Description: lncRNA (ENSAPLG00000023167.1)
Source: RNAcentral
CACCGCUCGGUGCCGGGGAUUUUCUCCCGGGCUGAGCCACCCGCUCUUGUUUUGAUCCAGCGGCCGGCCAGAUAUGUGGAAGCAGCAUCACUUCCAUUUCCUGCUGCUCCCAGGCCAGGCUCCCAGGGGCGUGCAGCGCUGCGCUGCUCCGCGGGGGCACCGCUCGCUGUCAGCCGGGCGGCAUUUAAACAGCCGGGCACGGCGAGAUGAGACGGGGCUGACGCUUUUUUCCUGCCUUUUGCUUUUUUUUUCCCCCCUUAAUUUCUUUAUUUAUAUAUUUAUUUUUUCAUUUUUUUCUUUUUCCUUUAUUUUAUUAUUAUUUUUUUUUUUGCAUUUUCUCCCAAUUUUCCCCCCACCCCCCCCCCCUCCCCUGCACAAGGCCAUCCAUCCCCCGUCCCCCACCACCGUGGGGAAGGAGGGGGAUGCCCGCAGCCCGGCCCCAUUCCGCAACGCCCCCUCCCUUUCUCCUUCCUCCUCCUCCUGCCGCAGCCGCCGCCCGUCCUCUCUCUCUCUCCCCCCUUUUCCCCCCCAUCCCCUACCUGUAGGAGCGCUCCCCCCGCACCGUGUGCUUCCUGAAGGGGAUGAUGGUGCCGUUGUCCUGGAUGAUGUCGUUGUUGUUCUCGCCAUUUGGGGACAGGGCUUGGGUCGGUCCGGGCAUUGGCGCUCGCUCCCCCGCGGCUCCGCGCCUCCUCCCCGCCCCAGCGCUGCGGCUCUGCCUGCGGAAGGUGCUGGCGGCCCCCGCCUGCCGCCCGCCCGCCCGCCCGGACCCCGCCCCGCCGCCCCGCGUCACCGCGCCACGUGACCGCCCGCCGCCAUGGCAACC